This 74-nucleotide transfer RNA is filed under the name Verrucomicrobiales bacterium. RNAcentral's name for it is "tRNA-Met". It matches the Rfam family "tRNA". Rfam says of the family: Transfer RNA (tRNA) molecules are approximately 80 nucleotides in length. Their secondary structure includes four short double-helical elements and three loops (D, anti-codon, and T loops). Lineage: Bacteria; Pseudomonadati; Verrucomicrobiota; Verrucomicrobiia; Verrucomicrobiales. The record is from RNAcentral.
AAUGGUAUAGUUCAGUUGGUUAGAACAUUGGGAUCAUAAUCCAAAUGUCGGGAGUUCAAAUCUCUCUUCCAUUA